AUACGUAGGGGGCGAGCGUUGUCCGAAUUUACUGGGCGUAAAGCGCGUGUAGGCGGUUCUUUAAGUCAGGUGUGAAAUCCUGUGGCUCAACCACAGAACUGCAUUUGAAACUGAAGGGCUUGAGUAUGGGAGAGGAAAGUGGAAUUCCUGGUGUAGCGGUGAAAUGCGUAGAUAUCAGGAGGAACACCCGUGGCGAAGGCGGCUUUCUGGCCCAUCACUGACGCUGAGACGCGAAAGCUAGGGGAGCGAACGGGAUUAGAUACCCCGGUAGUCCUAGCCGUAAACGAUGGAUACUAGGUGUAAGAGGUAUCGACCCCUCUUGUGCCGUAGCUAACGCAUUAAGUAUCCCGCCUGGGGAGUACGGCCGCAAGGUUGAA
This 377-nucleotide ribosomal RNA is filed under the name uncultured bacterium. RNAcentral describes it as "bacterial SSU rRNA". It matches the Rfam family "Bacterial small subunit ribosomal RNA", at positions 523 to 898 of the family's 1533-position model. The record is from RNAcentral.